RNAcentral lists this microRNA precursor (136 nucleotides) under Hordeum vulgare. Its description in RNAcentral is "microRNA MIR1122". It matches the Rfam family "MIR1120/MIR1122 microRNA precursor family". The record is from RNAcentral. Lineage: Eukaryota; Viridiplantae; Streptophyta; Magnoliopsida; Poales; Poaceae.
CAUAUACUCCCUCCGUCCUAAAAUUCUUGUCUUCAAUUUAUCUAAAUAUGAAUGUAUCUAGUCACGUUUUAGUAUUUAGAUACAUCCAUUUCUAGAUAAAUUUAAGACAAAUUUUUUGGGACGGACGGAGUACCUA